RNAcentral lists this ribosomal RNA (459 nucleotides) under uncultured bacterium. Its description in RNAcentral is "partial 16S ribosomal RNA". It matches the Rfam family "Bacterial small subunit ribosomal RNA", at positions 338 to 795 of the family's 1533-position model. The record is from RNAcentral.
CCUACGGGUGGCAGCAGUGAGGAAUAUUGGUCAAUGGGCGCUAGCCUGAACCAGCCAAGUAGCGUGAAGGAUGACUGCCCUAUGGGUUGUAAACUUCUUUUAUAUGGGAAUAAAGUGCAGUAUGUAUACUGCUUUGCAUGUACCUUAUGAAUAAGGAUCGGCUAACUCCGUGCCAGCAGCCGCGGUAAUACGGAGGAUUCGAGCGUUAUCCGGAUUCAUUGGGUUUAAAGGGUGCGCAGGCGGGCCUUUAAGCCGGCGGUGAAAUCGCGGGGCUCAACCCCGCCGAGCCGUCGGAACUGGGGGCCUUGAGUGCGGCGGAGGCAUGCGGAAUGCGCGGUGUAGCGGUGAAAUGCAUAGAUAUCGCGCAGAACCCCGAUUGCGAAGGCAGCGUGCCGUGCCGCCACUGACGCUGAGGCACGAAAGCGCGGGGAUCGAACAGGAUUAGAUACCCCAGUAGUC